GGUAAAAAAAAGGUAAGCUACUAAGAGCGAAUGGUGGAUGCCUUGACUGGUAAAGGCGAUGAAGGACGUACUAGACUGCGAUAAGCUACGGGGAGCUGUCAAGAAGCUUUGAUCCGUAGAUUUCCGAAUGGGGCAACCCAAUGUAUAGAGAUAUACAUUACCUAUAUAGGAGCGAACGAGGGGAAUUGAAACAUCUUAGUACCCUCAGGAAAAGAAAUCAAUAGAGAUUGCGUCAGUAGCGGCGAGCGAAAGCGCAAGAGGGCAAACCCAGUGCUUGCACUGGGGGUUGUAGGACUGCAAUGUGCAAGAGCUGAGUUUAGCAGAACAUUCUGGAAAGUAUAGCCAUAGAGGGUGAUAGUCCCGUAUGCGAAAAACAAAGCUUAGCUAGCAGUAUCCUGAGUAGGGCGGGACACGAGGAAUCCUGUCUGAAUCCGGGUCGACCACGAUCCAACCCUAAAUACUAAUACCAGAUCGAUAGUGCACAAGUACCGUGAGGGAAAGGUGAAAAGAACUGAGGUGAUCAGAGUGAAAUAGAACCUGAAACCAUUUGCUUACAAUCAUUCAGAGCACUAUGUAGCAAUACAGUGUGAUGGACUGCCUUUUGCAUAAUGAGCCUGCGAGUUGUGGUGUCUGGCAAGGUUAAGCAAACGCGAAGCCGUAGCGAAAGCGAGUCUGAAUAGGGCGCUUAGUCAGAUGCUGCAGACCCGAAACGAAGUGAUCUAUCCAUGAGCAAGUUGAAGCUAGUGUAAGAACUAGUGGAGGACUGAACCCAUAGGCGUUGAAAAGCCCCGGGAUGACUUGUGGAUAGGGGUGAAAGGCCAAUCAAACUUCGUGAUAGCUGGUUCUCUCCGAAAUAUAUUUAGGUAUAGCGUUGUGUCGUAAUAUAAGGGGGUAGAGCACUGAAUGGGCUAGGGCAUACACCAAUGUACCAAACCCUAUCAAACUCCGAAUACCUUAUAUGUAAUCACAGCAGUCAGGCGGCGAGUGAUAAAAUCCGUCGUCAAGAGGGAAACAACCCAGACUACCAGCUAAGGUCCCUAAAUCUUACUUAAGUGGAAAACGAUGUGAAGUUACUUAAACAACCAGGAGGUUGGCUUAGAAGCAGCCAUCCUUUAAAGAAAGCGUAAUAGCUCACUGGUCUAGUGAUUUUGCGCGGAAAAUAUAACGGGGCUAAAGUAAGUACCGAAGCUGUAGACUUGCACACAACUUAGAUUAUUUAAGUUUAGAAUAUGAGAAACUAAGUUAUGUUUAGUUAUAUUUUUACUGAUUUUUAUAGAGUAAAGAUAGAAAUAAAACUUAGUAAAAUCAGUAAAAAUAUUCUUAGGCUAAAGUUAAGUAGUUUAAGUUGUGUGCAAGUGGUAGGAGAGCGUUCUAUUUGCGUCGAAGGUAUACCGGUAAGGAGUGCUGGAGCGAAUAGAAGUGAGCAUGCAGGCAUGAGUAGCGAUAAUUAAUGUGAGAAUCAUUAACGCCGUAAACCCAAGGUUUCCUACGCGAUGCUCGUCAUCGUAGGGUUAGUCGGGUCCUAAGUCGAGUCCGAAAGGGGUAGACGAUGGCAAAUUGGUUAAUAUUCCAAUACCAACAUUAGUGUGCGAUGGAAGGACGCUUAGGGCUAAGGGGGCUAGCGGAUGGAAGUGCUAGUCUAAGGUCGUAGGAGGUUAUACAGGCAAAUCCGUAUAACAAUACUCCGAGAACUGAAAGGCUUUUUGAAGUCUUCGGAUGGAUAGAAGAACCCCUGAUGCCGUCGAGCCAAGAAAAGUUUCUAAGUUUAGCUAAUGUUGCCCGUACCGUAAACCGACACAGGUGGGUGGGAUGAGUAUUCUAAGGCGCGUGGAAGAACUCUCUUUAAGGAACUCUGCAAAAUAGCACCGUAUCUUCGGUAUAAGGUGUGGUUAGCUUCGUACUAGGAUUUACUCCGAAAGCGAAGAAACUUACAACAAAGAGUCCCUCCCGACUGUUUACCAAAAACACAGCACUCUGCUAACUCGUAAGAGGAUGUAUAGGGUGUGACGCCUGCCCGGUGCUCGAAGGUUAAUUGAUGGGGUUAGCAUUAGCGAAGCUCUUGAUCGAAGCCCGAGUAAACGGCGGCCGUAACUAUAACGGUCCUAAGGUAGCGAAAUUCCUUGUCGGUUAAAUACCGACCUGCAUGAAUGGCGUAACGAGAUGGGAGCUGUCUCAAAGAGGGAUCCAGUGAAAUUGUAGUGGAGGUGAAAAUUCCUCCUACCCGCGGCAAGACGGAAAGACCCCGUGGACCUUUACUACAGCUUGACACUGCUACUUGGAUAAGAAUGUGCAGGAUAGGUGGGAGGCUUUGAGUAUAUGACGCCAGUUGUAUAUGAGCCAUUGUUGAGAUACCACUCUUUCUUAUUUGGGUAGCUAACCAGCUUGAGUUAUCCUCAAGUGGGACAAUGUCUGGUGGGUAGUUUGACUGGGGCGGUCGCCUCCCAAAUAAUAACGGAGGCUUACAAAGGUUGGCUCAGAACGGUUGGAAAUCGUUCGUAGAGUAUAAAGGUAUAAGCCAGCUUAACUGCAAGACAUACAAGUCAAGCAGAGACGAAAGUCGGUCUUAGUGAUCCGGUGGUUCUGUGUGGAAGGGCCAUCGCUCAAAGGAUAAAAGGUACCCCGGGGAUAACAGGCUGAUCUCCCCCAAGAGCUCACAUCGACGGGGAGGUUUGGCACCUCGAUGUCGGCUCAUCGCAUCCUGGGGCUGGAGCAGGUCCCAAGGGUAUGGCUGUUCGCCAUUUAAAGCGGUACGCGAGCUGGGUUCAGAACGUCGUGAGACAGUUCGGUCCCUAUCUGCCGUGGGCGUAAGAAGAUUGAAGAGAUUUGACCCUAGUACGAGAGGACCGGGUUGAACAAACCACUGGUGUAGCUGUUGUUCUGCCAAGAGCAUCGCAGCGUAGCUAAGUUUGGAAAGGAUAAACGCUGAAAGCAUCUAAGCGUGAAGCCAACUCUAAGAUGAAUCUUCUCUAAGCUCUCUAGAAGACUACUAGUUUGAUAGGCUGGGUGUGUAAUGGAUGAAAGUCCUUUAGCUGACCAGUACUAAU
RNAcentral lists this ribosomal RNA (3044 nucleotides) under Campylobacter jejuni. RNAcentral describes it as "partial 23S ribosomal RNA". It matches the Rfam family "Bacterial large subunit ribosomal RNA". Lineage: Bacteria; Pseudomonadati; Campylobacterota; Epsilonproteobacteria; Campylobacterales; Campylobacteraceae. The record is from RNAcentral.